Molecule: transfer RNA, 66 nt
Filed under: Chelonibia testudinaria
Lineage: Eukaryota; Metazoa; Arthropoda; Thecostraca; Balanomorpha; Chelonibiidae
Description: tRNA-Arg
Source: RNAcentral
GAACAAGAAGCGAAAAUUUGCUAUCGGUUUCGACCCGGUCUUUGGUUAAUACAAAACCCUUGUUUU